This 82-nucleotide transfer RNA is filed under the name Dreissena polymorpha. It matches the Rfam family "tRNA". From Rfam's summary of the family: Transfer RNA (tRNA) molecules are approximately 80 nucleotides in length. Lineage: Eukaryota; Metazoa; Mollusca; Bivalvia; Myida; Dreissenidae. The record is from Rfam by way of RNAcentral.
GUUGCUGUGGCCGAGUGGUUUAGGCGAUAGACUUGAAAUCUUUUUUGAUUUUCCCGCGCAGGUUCGAAUCCUGCCGACAACG